UGCACUCACUACUGUAAGUCGCUCUGGAUAAGAGCGUCUGCUAAAUCACUAACC
Molecule: non-coding RNA, 54 nt
Organism: Salmo salar (Atlantic salmon)
Lineage: Eukaryota; Metazoa; Chordata; Actinopteri; Salmoniformes; Salmonidae
Source: Rfam